UACGUAGGGGGCAAGCGUUGUCCGGAUUUAUUGGGCGUAAAGAGCGUGUAGGCGGCCAGAUAGGUCCGUUGUGAAAACUGGAGGCUUAACCUCCAGCGGUCGAUGGAACCAUUUGGCUAGAGUCCGGAAGAGGAGAGUGGAAUUCCUGGUGUAGCGGUGAAAUGCGCAGAUAUCAGGAAGAACACCCGUGGCGAAGGCGGCUCUCUGGGACGGUACUGACGCUGAGACGCGAAAGCGUGGGGAGCGAACAGG
Molecule: ribosomal RNA, 252 nt
Filed under: uncultured bacterium
Lineage: Bacteria
Description: partial 16S ribosomal RNA
Rfam family: Bacterial small subunit ribosomal RNA
Source: RNAcentral